GAUUAACGCUAGCGGCAGGCCUAAUACAUGCAAGUCGAACGGGAUUCAAAGUAGCAAUAUUUUGAUGAGAGUGGCGCACGGGUGAGUAACACGUAUGCAAUUUACCUUAACUGGGGGAUAGCCCUCCGAAAGGAGGAUUAAUACCGCAUAAUAUAUUGAAAUGGCAUCAUUUUAAUAUUAAACCUACGGGGGUUAAAGAUGAGCAUGCAUCCGAUUAGCUAGUUGGUGUGGUAACGGCUCACCAAGGCAACGAUCGGUAGGGGGUCUGAGAGGAUGAUCCCCCACACUGGUACUGAGACACGGACCAGACUCCUACGGGAGGCAGCAGUAAGGAAUAUUGGACAAUGGAGGCAACUCUGAUCCAGCCAUGCCGCGUGAAGGAUUAAGGCCCUAUGGGUUGUAAACUUCUUUUAGACGGGACAAAACCCCUUUACGUGUAAAGGGUUGAUGGUACUGUCAGAAUAAGCAUCGGCUAACUUCGUG
RNAcentral lists this ribosomal RNA (483 nucleotides) under uncultured bacterium. RNAcentral's name for it is "bacterial SSU rRNA". It matches the Rfam family "Bacterial small subunit ribosomal RNA", at positions 28 to 507 of the family's 1533-position model. The record is from RNAcentral.